This 450-nucleotide ribosomal RNA is filed under the name uncultured bacterium. RNAcentral describes it as "partial 16S ribosomal RNA". It matches the Rfam family "Bacterial small subunit ribosomal RNA", at positions 354 to 796 of the family's 1533-position model. The record is from RNAcentral.
GUGGGGAAUAUUGGACAAUGGGCGAAAGCCUGAUCCAGCCAUGCCGCGUGUGUGAAGAAGGUCUUCGGAUUGUAAAGCACCUUAAGUUGGGAGGAAGGGCAGUAAGUUAAUACCUUGCUGUUUUGACGUUACCGACAGAAUAAGCACCGGCUAACUUCGUGCCAGCAGCCGCGGUAAUACGAAGGGUGCAAGCGUUAAUCGGAAUUACUGGGCGUAAAGCGCGCGUAGGUGGUUUUGUAAGUUGGAGGUGAAAUCCCCGGGCUCAACCUGGGAACUGCCUACAAAAAUGCAUGACUAGAGUACGGUAGAGGGUAGUGGAAUUUCCUGUGUAGCGGUGAAAUGCGUAGAUAUAGGAAGGAACACCAGUGGCGAAGGCGACUACCUGGACUGAUACUGACACUGAGGUGCGAAAGCGUGGGGAGCAAACAGGAUUAGAUACCCGUGUAGUCC